This 235-nucleotide long non-coding RNA is filed under the name Lathyrus oleraceus (garden pea). Its description in RNAcentral is "Pisum sativum (pea) long non-coding RNA (PSAT_LNC031506)". The record is from RNAcentral. Lineage: Eukaryota; Viridiplantae; Streptophyta; Magnoliopsida; Fabales; Fabaceae.
AAACCAUAAAAUUUAUCACAAUCAACAUCCUCAAUAGAGGUUAAGGACUCCUCUACCCUACCCCUCAUGCAUAAGCCCGUAUUGAAGGUUAUUAUCUCUCUUACCUUAGAUUUCUCCAACAAAAUUCUUCAAAGCUCUUUCAGUGGAUGCUCUUCCUUGCCCUAGCCCUUGGCUCUUCCUCUUUCCACCAAAUUUUGAUUUUACGUAUGAAAACUCUCACAACUCCUUAUUAACC